Molecule: ribosomal RNA, 253 nt
Filed under: uncultured bacterium
Lineage: Bacteria
Description: partial 16S ribosomal RNA
Rfam family: Bacterial small subunit ribosomal RNA
Source: RNAcentral
UACGUAGGGUGCGAGCGUUAAUCGGAAUUACUGGGCGUAAAGUGUGCGCAGGCGGCCGAGCAAGUCGAGUGUGAAAGCCCCGAGCUUAACUUGGGAACUGCGCUCGAAACUACUUGGCUAGAGUGUGGCAGAGGGAGGUGGAAUUCCACGUGUAGCGGUGAAAUGCGUAGAGAUGUGGAGGAACACCGAUGGCGAAGGCAGCCUCCUGGGCCAACACUGACGCUCAUGCACGAACGCGUGGGGAGCAAACAGG